RNAcentral lists this long non-coding RNA (354 nucleotides) under Numida meleagris (helmeted guineafowl). Its description in RNAcentral is "lncRNA (ENSNMEG00000014560.1)". The record is from RNAcentral. Lineage: Eukaryota; Metazoa; Chordata; Aves; Galliformes; Numididae.
UCAGUAUCUGUUUUUUGUUUGUUUUUUUUUUAAUUUUCUUUUCUUUUUCUCUCUAAACAGUUUGUCACAGAAAGUACUGAUGUAAAACAGGACUGACAAGUGUACGGAGCUGUCAGGAUCUGAAAGCUUGCAGGUGUCUGUCUGCCUCUUACUGCUGGGAUUGGACUCCAAAGCCUGUGGAAGGACUGACGGUCUUCAAGCAGUGUAACAGAGGUGAGCCCUGAAAGCCUCUUUCUAAGCUUUCUUCUGGUGCUCUUACUGCAUCGAGACAGGAGUAACCAGGUAAGAACAGAAACCUCAUUUGUGUUGGCUUUCAAAAAAGAUGCACUUGAUCUUGACAGCUGUCCCGUGGUA